UACGUAGGGUGCGAGCGUUAAUCGGAAUUACUGGGCGUAAAGCGUGCGCAGGCGGUCUCGUAAGACAGGUGUGAAAUCCCCGGGCUUAACCUGGGAACUGCGCUUGUGACUGCGAGGCUGGAGUGCGGAAGAGGGAGGUGGAAUUCCACGUGUAGCAGUGAAAUGCGUAGAGAUGUGGAGGAACACCGAUGGCGAAGGCAGCCUCCUGGUCCAGCACUGACGCUCAUGCACGAAAGCGUGGGGAGCAAACAGG
RNAcentral lists this ribosomal RNA (253 nucleotides) under uncultured bacterium. RNAcentral describes it as "partial 16S ribosomal RNA". It matches the Rfam family "Bacterial small subunit ribosomal RNA", at positions 524 to 776 of the family's 1533-position model. RNAcentral also lists the same sequence under 2 other names. The record is from RNAcentral.